UCCUCUUCACAUCACCUGGUGAAGUCUGUCCUCCUCUGAGGAACUGCCUUUCCUCUCCACUUUCUUUCUGGUACAGUCCUGUGUGGAUGGACUCACGUGUUCCUCAUAGACCACAAGCAGCUUGGGGAUACCACCACUGGCUUAGACAUCAGUGUGCUCCAAACUAGAGCAUGGCUUGAAGGCUCUAUCAAGGCUGUCACAGACAGAGAAGGGUGGACAAAUAAAUGAAUAAAGGAACAGAGUGGCUAUCUUAUUUCCUAACAGAAGGUUUUAAUAGAUGUCAGGAAGGAAAAAAAAAAAAAGAUAUGUUACCUUAAUAGUUUGUGUCAGAACUCUUCUCAGAGGAGAAAAAACAUGAUGAGCUACCAAGACAAACAUAAAGUCUCUUUUAGGCCUUUUUUGCUGGACAGCUUCUCCUCCAGAAGUCUUCCCAUACUCCAGGCUGGGAUAAUAAGUUGCUGUGGGCCCAGCAACUUCCUGUUAGCAUUUCCGUGUUAUAUUGGAAAUACUAUAUUUAUGUGUUUGUCUCCCUUCAUAAGGCUGUAUGCUCAUUUGAAAAUGUCAUGUCCUCACUGCCUGGUAAUUUGGACACAUAGCAGAUGCUGCUGAACUCUGCAAACAGGAUUUUAAGGAAGAAUGCCUGAGGAGGCUACUGCACUAGUUACUGUGCUUGCCUGCUGAAUGCCCUAAAUUCUCCUCCAUGAAUACCUCAAGAAGACUGUUCAAUUAUUGGAUUUCUUUCUACAACAAAUCCCUGAAAAAUAGAAUACAUAAAAGGGAAAUUAGAGAAAAGAUCACUCACAAUACAUGUAUGGAAUGUAGCCUAAAGUGAUGAUUUUCUUUUAUCUUUCAAUGUCUUAACUACCUUAGUACUGCAGCUCUGGUGGGGACAAGGGGGAGGCCUGGAAUAAAUAAAUCUCCACAAUGUAGCUGGGUAAUCUCCAUUUGCCCAUUGCCAUGCAAUGUGUUUAGCCAAUACACAAACACUAGAUGGCGCCCAUAAUCUUAGAACAUUGUACAAGUCCAGCUUCAGUUUCUGUGUAGGCAAGGACGUGGGAAACAGUCCAUUAUGGGAACUAUAAAAAUAUCUACCUAAGCACUUCCCACCUCUGGUGUACUGUGAAGUACUCCUUAUGUAAGGGUUUGGUGGUCAGAAAUAUUUAGGAAAACUAUUUAUGUUAUCUUCCUGUAGGAGAUUCCCACUGCACAUGAAAAAUGCUGUUUUUGAGAAGUUCUUCAAUGAAGAGACCUGACACUAAGGAACCUAUUACAGUAGCAACCUAUUACAAUUUUGUUGUUUCAGCAUUCUGUAAAACACACUUGGUAAAUGCAGAUUUAGUUCAAAACCUGUCCCAAAGAAGGAAGAACCCAAACUAUCUUAUAAGAGUUUUUUUUUUUUUUUAAUACAUGGUUAUGUGGUACUUUUAUAAAAGGGUUUACAAUUUAGGAAAAGUUUAUAGUCUGUAUGGCAGAAUAAUUUUGUAAUGGUCUGUCCUGAUUAGUAAGGUGACUAUUACAUGAAUCCCUCAUCUAUGAAGAACAACUAAGAGCAGAGAAAGACCCCCAUCCCCAGUUUUCUUCCUGGGGGAUUUUUUCCCCUUGUUUGAACUUUCUAGUGUAAAUUGUUUACAAAUGAAUUCUACAUGACCCAGUGACACUUAAUGAAUUUUGAUUAUUAGAGUUUUGCCUCCCCCCCCAGGAAUAUAUAUAACUUGUCCCUAAAGUCCAGUGCAAGCUGCAGAAGCAAAAUAUUGUAUCUUUCAUAUCCCAUUGCUGAUAAUGACAUUUUUCUUUCCAUCUUGUAAUGUAUGAGCUUCUUGAGCCUGUUUAUAUUUUCCUCUAAUUGAUAACCCAAUGAAAUUCCAAGAAUAGCCUUGAAAUUAGCCACUCAAAGUUAAAUUUAGCAAGAUAAAAGGGUAAAAAAAGUGUUCCCUUCUCCCUUUCAAUGAAAAAGGCAGAUAAUGUCCUUGCAAAUGUUAUACAUUAAUAAAGGAUAUAGUAUCUGAA
Molecule: non-coding RNA, 2007 nt
Organism: Ictidomys tridecemlineatus (thirteen-lined ground squirrel)
Lineage: Eukaryota; Metazoa; Chordata; Mammalia; Rodentia; Sciuridae
Source: RefSeq, a predicted model, not a curated record